This 478-nucleotide ribosomal RNA is filed under the name uncultured bacterium. RNAcentral's name for it is "partial 16S ribosomal RNA". It matches the Rfam family "Bacterial small subunit ribosomal RNA", at positions 28 to 523 of the family's 1533-position model. The record is from RNAcentral.
GACGAACGCUGGCGGCGUGCUUAACACAUGCAAGUCGAACGGUAAGGCCCUUCGGGGUACACGAGUGGCGAACGGGUGAGUAACACGUGGGUGAUCUGCCCUGCACUUCGGGAUAAGCCUGGGAAACUGGGUCUAAUACCGGAUAGGACCACUGCCUGCAUGGGUGGUGGUGGAAAGCUUUUGCGGUGUGGGAUGGGCCCGCGGCCUAUCAGCUGGUUGGUGGGGUGACGGCCUACCAAGGCGAUGACGGGUAGCCGGCCUGAGAGGGUGACCCGCCACACUGGGACUGAGAUACGGGCCAGACGCCUACGGGAGGCAGCAGUGGGGAAUAUUGCACAAUGGGCGCAAGCCUGAUGCAGCGACGCCGCGUGAGGGAUUACGGCCUUCGGGUUGUAAACCUCUUUCAGCACCGACGAAGCGCAAGUGACGGUAGGUGCAGAAGAAGGACCGGCCAACUACGUGCCAGCAGCCGCGGUAA